GACGAAUCUAUUGCCCGUCAAACCUGCGCAUUACCGUGUGUAGGGGAGGGCGGCGAAAAACGGCAGUU
Molecule: regulatory RNA element, 68 nt
Organism: Limnohabitans sp. 63ED37-2
Lineage: Bacteria; Pseudomonadati; Pseudomonadota; Betaproteobacteria; Burkholderiales; Comamonadaceae
Rfam family: ilvH RNA
Source: Rfam